Molecule: long non-coding RNA, 316 nt
Organism: Mauremys reevesii (Reeves's turtle)
Lineage: Eukaryota; Metazoa; Chordata; Testudines; Geoemydidae
Exons: 3
Source: RefSeq, a predicted model, not a curated record
UUUUACCAACCAGUUGCAGGCUGGCUUGGAUUUAAUACUCUCAUCCCUUCCCCAUCCCCUUGCAGUCUGCAGCCCUCCAGCCUCCAGCCACCACCUCCCCUCUGCCUGGACUGCACUAGUGUGGACUUGGCCAAAGCGUGUCUGCCUGUCCAGCCAGUGCAUCACAGAGCAGGUGCAGAAUCGGCCAGCACAAUGCCAGAACCGUAAGUAGCAGUCCUUCCCUUUGCCUUUUGCUGAACUCCCCUAAGCUUCAGGCUUCUCAGGAGAGCUGUGGGAGAGACCUGACGCUACUUGGACCAACAGCAGGGUUUGAAUG